GAUGUUGGUGAACGCGGUACUAUCGAUAAUACUAUCGUAUUUUUGCAAUUCUAUUGCAAUUAUUAUUAUUUCAAUUCAAUUAAAUUAUAGCAUUGAAGUACCCUACAGAAAAUAUGUCUAAUUUUUUUAAAACAGAUCCCUAAGCGUUUUUCUUAAAACCCGCGUUCAUAAGCAAAAGCUUCAUGAAAGUGAACUUCACCGAGAAGAACAAGAUUAAAGAGAGCAAUAGUAAACAACAAGUGUCGUCGUCGAUAAGCGUAAUGCGAAGUAGUAAAAGUAAACGCAUCAUCAGUUUAUCUAGAAAAGAUAACAUUGAUUCCCGGGAUGAUAUUCUUUCGAAAAGUGGACUACAGUUCUGUCGAAAAGCCCAACGGCUUCAUUAAGUCGACGAUUUCCUCAGUGACGGACAUGGCGACAUGAACUCAUAAUAACUUGAAGCUCACCCAAAUUGAUAGCAAUCCAGCGGACUUAAGCGCAGUGAUCUAAAGACUCAAGAUAAAGAAUUCGAGACGUUUGAGACAUAUUCAAAGCCUUUGGUGAGCUGUAUUCCUUACGUAUUCACAUCGUGACUUUGGCUUUGUUGACUAAAUCUCCAAGUAGAGUCCGAAAGCGCCUUCAACACUUUUAGAGCCAGUACUCAUUUCUACUGCCGUCAAUUGGUGCUUGAGUAGAGCGCCAAAGAUAAACAACCUGGGCGUGGAGGAGCAUUGCAAACAGACGGUGAUCUAAUUCGGCGCCAGUCUGGCAGCCUAUUCGCCGAAACGCGGUUAAAAAUCCCUCUUCGUUGUAGAGGGAUAAGUGCAGUCAAAUCAAGAGGACGAGGAAAAGCAAUAAUAUCCAGGCCUAGCUUGAAAAUGUAUAAAGUAGACAAUAUAAUUUUUAAAAUAUUCAUAUAAAAAAAACUGCCCUGAAACAUAAUUACAAUGCCUGAAUGAUAAUCUCGAAGCCCUAUAGCAAUAUCU
RNAcentral lists this long non-coding RNA (962 nucleotides) under Drosophila melanogaster (fruit fly). Its description in RNAcentral is "long non-coding RNA:CR45473 (Dmel_CR45473)". The record is from RNAcentral. Lineage: Eukaryota; Metazoa; Arthropoda; Insecta; Diptera; Drosophilidae.